AAGGUACCCCUUCCGUCCGGAAAUACUUGUCCUAUGAAAGGUUGUAUCUAGACUUAUUUUAGUUAUAGAUACAUCCAUUUUAUCCAUUUCUAGGACAAGUAUUUCCGGACGGAGGGAGUAUAAU
Molecule: non-coding RNA, 124 nt
Organism: Triticum urartu
Lineage: Eukaryota; Viridiplantae; Streptophyta; Magnoliopsida; Poales; Poaceae
Source: Rfam